UGAUAGCCUGCGAAAAGCUCCGGGGAGGCGGCAAAUAUCCUUUGAUCCGGAGAUGUCUGAAUGGGGGAACCCACCUACUUUAAGGUAGGUAUUGCAACAUGAAUACAUAGUGUUGCAAGGCGAACGAGGGGAAGUGAAACAUCUCAGUACCCUUAGGAAAAGAAAUCAAUUGAGAUUCCCUCAGUAGCGGCGAGCGAACGGGGAUCAGCCCAUUAAGUUAUGUGUGUUUUAGUGGAACGCUCUGGGAAGUGCGAACGUAGAGGGUGAUAUUCCCGUACACGAAAGGGCACACAUAAUGAUGACGAGUAGGGCGAGGCACGUGAAACCUUGUCUGAAUAUGGGGGGACCAUCCUCCAAGGCUAAAUACUCCUGACUGACCGAUAGUGAACCAGUACCGUGAGGGAAAGGCGAAAAGAACCCCUGUGAGGGGAGUGAAAUAGAUCCUGAAACCGCAUGCAUACAAGCAGUGGGAGCACCUUCGUGGUGUGACUGCGUACCUUUUGUAUAAUGGGU
RNAcentral lists this ribosomal RNA (513 nucleotides) under Acinetobacter baumannii. RNAcentral's name for it is "partial 23S ribosomal RNA". It matches the Rfam family "Bacterial large subunit ribosomal RNA", at positions 59 to 620 of the family's 2925-position model. The record is from RNAcentral. Lineage: Bacteria; Pseudomonadati; Pseudomonadota; Gammaproteobacteria; Moraxellales; Moraxellaceae.